AGAGUUUGAUCCUGGCUCAGAUUGAACGCUGGCGGAAUGCUUUACACAUGCAAGUCGAACGGCAGCACGGGUGCUUGCACCUGGUGGCGAGUGGCGAACGGGUGAGUAAUGCGUCGGAACGUGCCGAGUAAUGGGGGAUAACGCAGCGAAAGUUGUGCUAAUACCGCAUACGCCCUCCGGGGGAAAGCAGGGGAUCACAAGACCUUGCGUUAUUCGAGCGGCCGACGUCUGAUUAGCUUGUUGGUGAGGUAAUGGCUCACCAAGGCGACGAUCAGUAGCGGGUCUGAGAGGAUGAUCCGCCACACUGGGACUGAGACACGGCCCAGACUCCUACGGGAGGCAGCAGUGGGGAAUUUUGGACAAUGGGGGCAACCCUGAUCCAGCCAUUCCGCGUGAGUGAAGAAGGCCUUCGGGUUGUAAAGCUCUUUCAGCUGGAGUGAAACGGUACGCUCUAACAUAGCGUGCUAAUGACGGUACCAGCAGAAGAAGCACCGGCUAACUACGUGCCAGCAGCCGCGGUAAUACGUAGGGUGCGAGCGUUAAUCGGAAUUACUGGGCGUAAAGCGUGCGCAGGCGGAUUGUUAAGCAAGACGUGAAAUCCCCGGGCUUAACCUGGGAAUGGCGUUUUGAACUGGCAGUCUAGAGUGUGUCAGAGGGGGGUGGAAUUCCACGUGUAGCAGUGAAAUGCGUAGAGAUGUGGAGGAACACCAAUGGCGAAGGCAGCCCCCUGGGAUAACACUGACGCUCAUGUACGAAAGCGUGGGUAGCAAACAGGAUUAGAUACCCUGGUAGUCG
This 795-nucleotide ribosomal RNA is filed under the name uncultured bacterium. RNAcentral's name for it is "bacterial SSU rRNA". It matches the Rfam family "Bacterial small subunit ribosomal RNA", at positions 8 to 796 of the family's 1533-position model. The record is from RNAcentral.